CCUACGGGCGGCAGCAGUAGGGAAUAUUGCUCAAUGGGGGAAACCCUGAAGCAGCAAAGCCGCGUGGAGGAUGAAGGUUUUAGGAUUGUAAACUCCUUUUGUGAGAGAAGAUAAUGACGGUAUCCCACGAAUAAGCACCGGCUAACCCCGUGUAAGCAGCCGCGGUAAUACGGGGGGUGCACGCGUUACUCGGAAUCACUGGGCGUAAAGAGUGCGCAGGCGGGCUUGUAAGUCAGAUGUGAAAACCUGUAGGUUAACUACAGAACUGCAUUUGAAACUAUGAGUCUAGAGUGUGGGAGAGGUAGGUGGAAUGCGUGGUGUAGGGGUAAAAGCCGUAGAUAGCAAGAGGAAUACUCAUUGCGAAGGCGACCUACUGGAACAUUACUGACGCUCAUGCACGAAAGCGUGGGGAGCAAACAGGAUUAGAUACCCGAGUAGUC
Molecule: ribosomal RNA, 440 nt
Filed under: uncultured bacterium
Lineage: Bacteria
Description: partial 16S ribosomal RNA
Rfam family: Bacterial small subunit ribosomal RNA
Source: RNAcentral